This 366-nucleotide ribosomal RNA is filed under the name uncultured eukaryote. RNAcentral's name for it is "partial 18S ribosomal RNA". It matches the Rfam family "Eukaryotic small subunit ribosomal RNA", at positions 592 to 976 of the family's 1831-position model. The record is from RNAcentral.
CAAUAGCGUAUAUUAACGUUGUUGCAGUUAAAAAGCUCGUAGUUGGAUCUCUGGAGGGAGCGUCGGCCCGUAUUUACGAGUGCGUGACGUCUCUGUCCAUCCUUGCGGGAAGGCACGGCAUUGAUUUGUUGUGUCGGAUCGCAUCAUUUACUGUGAAAAAAUUAGAGUGUUCAAAGCAGGCUUUCGCUUGAAUACAUUAGCAUGGAAUAAUAAGAUAGGACUUUGGUGCUAUUUUGCUGGUUGAGCCUAAAGUAAUGAUUAAUAGGGAUAGUUGGGGGCACCUGUAUUGCGUUGUCAGAGGUGAAAUUCUUGGAUUUACGCAAGACAAACAGCUGCGAAAGCGUCUGCCAAGGAUGUUUUCAUUAA